RNAcentral lists this ribosomal RNA (496 nucleotides) under uncultured bacterium. RNAcentral's name for it is "partial 16S ribosomal RNA". It matches the Rfam family "Bacterial small subunit ribosomal RNA", at positions 28 to 507 of the family's 1533-position model. The record is from RNAcentral.
GAUGAACGCUGGCGGCGUGCCUAAUACAUGCAAGUCGAGCGAACGGACGAGAAGCUUGCUUCUCUGAUGUUAGCGGCGGACGGGUGAGUAACACGUGGAUAACCUACCUAUAAGACUGGGAUAACUUCGGGAAACCGUAGCUAAUACCGGAUAAUAUUUUGAACCGCAUGGUUCAAAAGUGAAAGACGGUCUUGCUGUCACUUAUAGAUGGAUCGCGCUGCAUUAGCUAGUUGGUAAGGUAACGGCUUACCAAGGCAACGAUGCAUAGCCGACCUGAGAGGGUGAUCGGCCACACUGGAACUGAGACACGGUCCAGACUCCUACGGGAGGCAGCAGUAGGGAAUCUUCCGCAAUGGGCGAAAGCCUGACGGAGCAACGCCGCGUGAGUGAUGAAGGUCUUCGGAUCGUAAAACUCUGUUAUUAGGGAAGAACAUAUGUGUAAGUAACUGUGCACAUCUUGUCGGUACCUAAUCAGAAAGCCACGGCUAACUACGUG